UACGUAGGGGGCAAGCGUUGUCCGGAAUCAUUGGGCGUAAAGCGCGUGUAGGCGGCCCGGUAAGUCCGCUGUGAAAGUCCAGGGCUCAACCCUGGGAUGCCGGUGGAUACUGUCGGGCUCGAGUCCGGAAGAGGCGAGUGGAAUUCCUGGUGUAGCGGUGAAAUGCGCAGAUAUCAGGAGGAACACCGAUGGCGAAGGCAGCUCGCUGGGACGUGACUGACGCUAAGGCGCGAAAGCGUGGGGAGCGAACAGG
Molecule: ribosomal RNA, 253 nt
Filed under: uncultured bacterium
Lineage: Bacteria
Description: partial 16S ribosomal RNA
Rfam family: Bacterial small subunit ribosomal RNA
Source: RNAcentral